UCCCUCAUAGCUCAGUUGGUAAAGAAUCUGCCUGCAAUGCAGGAGACCCCGGUUCGAUUCCUGGGUUGGGAA
Bos taurus (domestic cattle) is the source of this 72-nucleotide non-coding RNA. The record is from Rfam. NCBI's taxonomy places the organism in Eukaryota, Metazoa, Chordata, Mammalia, Artiodactyla, Bovidae.